AGUCACUGACAUUAGAUACCCCUGUAGUCCCAGCCGUAAACUAUGCGCGUUAGGUGUGUCGGUAACCACGCGUUACUGAUGCGCCGAAGAGAAAUCGUGAAACGCACCACCUGGGAAGUACGGUCGCAAGGCUGAAACUUAAAGGAAUUGGCGGGGAGCACCACAACAGGUGGAGCCUGCGGUUUAAUUGGAUUCAACGCCGGACAUCUCACCGGAUAAGACAGCUGAAUGAUUGUCAAUCUGAAGGUUUUACAUGACUAGCUG
Molecule: ribosomal RNA, 264 nt
Filed under: uncultured archaeon
Lineage: Archaea
Description: partial 16S ribosomal RNA
Rfam family: Archaeal small subunit ribosomal RNA
Source: RNAcentral